Molecule: long non-coding RNA, 1015 nt
Filed under: Gallus gallus (chicken)
Lineage: Eukaryota; Metazoa; Chordata; Aves; Galliformes; Phasianidae
Description: lncRNA (ENSGALG00010000297.1)
Source: RNAcentral
GUUGCGCGCGGUGCUUCUUCACUUUCGCUUGCUGCUGGGAGAGGAGUGGCUGUGCUUUCCAAGCCGGGCGCCUUCAUCAAUGGAAGAAGCCUCCAAGACGAGAGAAUGAUGACAGGCAAGGAAUAUGGAAAGGUUUAGGAAGAAUCUUAGAAGCAUGAGGACCCGCCAUACCAUGGGAUUUCACUCUUGAGCAUCUGAGGGAUCCCGAGAAACUGAGCCAGCAUUUGAGUCAGGGACGGUGCGGCUUAGAUAGAUCAAAGGAAGUACGGCUUAUCUGGGGCUUGGCUACUGCCUACCGUGCUCUGUAUAGUAUUGUUCUGGAGAGAGAGAGUUUCCGAGUGGAGGUGCAAGCCAAAGGGGGAAAUCUUCCAGUCAGACCUGAUCAGUCACAGCAGACACCAGUAACAGUGUCAGUAGCCCCUGUAGAAGGCAAGAAAUGGAAGCGGGUGUCCUCAUGUCUAGAGCGAAAAAAAGAAGAAGAGGUGGAGGAGGAGGUAGAGGAAGAUCCAGGCGAAGGGACUUCCUCAGAACCAAGAAAGGCAAAAGCAAAAACUAAGAGGCAUGAAGAGGACAGCGAUGAAGAGGAGAUCUCUAUUACUGUUCGUCGACCUCUCAAGAUGACUGAAAUCCAAAGCUCAAGGAAGGAAUUUGAACGAUGUUCGUACAAAACUAUUGUCACCUGCUUGCUUCGCUGUUGGGAUAGUGGGGUCAGUAGCUUGUCUCUAGAUGGUAACAAAGCCCGCCAACUAGGAGACAUUGCCAAAGACAAAUCCAUUGACAGGGGAAUUAGUAGAUGCUUGGAUGGAGCUGCAACCCUCUGGGACCAAAUAUUAAUAGCUGUGAGGGAAAGGUAUCUCUACAUAGAACUUCUGCAGCCUGCAAUGAAAACGUGGGAUACAAUUGAGAAAGGUAUCCAGUAUUUGAGGGAAAUAGCCCUGGUGGAAAUGUUAUAUGACUCUAAUUUUGUUCCUAAUGAUCCACGCCAAAACCAUGAUCCGGAGAGAGUGAGGACAAC